This 453-nucleotide ribosomal RNA is filed under the name uncultured bacterium. Its description in RNAcentral is "bacterial SSU rRNA". It matches the Rfam family "Bacterial small subunit ribosomal RNA", at positions 30 to 477 of the family's 1533-position model. The record is from RNAcentral.
AUUGAACGCUGGCGGCAGGCCUAACACAUGCAAGUCGAACGGUAACAGGAAGCAGCUUGCUGCUUCGCUGACGAGUGGCGGACGGGUGAGUAAUGUUUGGGAAACUGCCUGAUGGAGGGGGAUAACUACUGGAAACGGUAGCUAAUACCGCAUAACGUCGCAAGACCAAAGAGGGGGACCUUCGGGCCUCUUGCCAUCAGAUGUGCCCAGAUGGGAUUAGCUAGUAGGUGGGGUAACGGCUCACCUAGGCGACGAUCCCUAGCUGGUUUGAGAGGAUGACCAGCCACACUGGAAAUGAGACACGGUCCAGACUCCUACGGGAGGCAGCAGUGGGGAAUAUUGCACAAUGGGCGCAAGCCUGAUGCAGCCCUGCCGCGUGUAUGAAGAAGGCCUUCGGGUUGUAAAGUACUUUCAGCGGGGAGGAAGGGAGUAAAGUUAAUACCUUUGCUCAUU